GCGGGAGGGCGCGGGAGGGCGCGGGAGGGCGCGGGAGGGCGCAGGCUCCGGGCCUCUCGCGCGACGCGCGCCCCCGCCGUGCUGCCGCUCCCGGCUCCCUCCGCGCCGUCCCGCGGGCACCCGCGGCUGCUGGGCCCGGCCGCCGAGCUCGUGCAGCCCGCCGAGCGCCUUAGCGGGUGGUGCCUGCCCGAGGCCGGGCCUGCGCUUGGCUAAGAUGCUAAGGUCCCGCCUCGCGUCGCUGGUGCCGGGAUUCGUUAGGUUAGGCCCGGGCUCCCAAGCCACCCAAGCGGCCUCUACCGUUCCAUCUGGUUAUCAAGACACACCACGGAGCGUCUGUACACUGCGGGGUGCUGGAGCCCAGCCCGCCCGGUCCCUGCCCGGGGCCGUGGCAUGUCACGUUGGUGAAGGGUUGGGGUCGGGGGCGCCUGAAACAGCCACUCACAGGUGCUGACGGCAGUUGCAGGCACAGGACCCCGAGGAGAGAGGGCCCCCCACCCCCCACCCCCCACCUCGGCUGGGGUUGGAUGCACUUCCCGGAGAGACAUGUGGAAACAUCCAGCAGAGGAUACAGAGGCAAGUCCAGCGGCUGAGAGGGGCAGCCUCUUUGCUUCUGAGCCAACUCACAGAGUGAGGACUCCCUCCUGUUGGCCCCCAGCUGCUCACCCAUCCCUGCUACUUAAGCAGCUUGGUCCAGACUGGUUUUGGAUGGAAAACCAGACCCAGAAUUGGAGUAAUCCAGGGGGAAAGUUUCUUGGCAGUUUUCUUUGUCCUGGGACCGUUGUCUCCUGCAAGAGGCACGACUGAAUGCUGAAGACCCAUCAGUAUGGGGAGGGGCCCCGUGCCCACCUCAGCCAGCCCCCCAGUGGGCCCAGCCCCCCGCGGAACGCAGCUGCAUGGAGCCUGGCCAACCCACAGGAUUGUGGAAAAUAAUAACUCCUCGCUUCUUCAGCCAUUCAGUUUGGGCAUAGCCCACCAUACAGCAAUAGAGAACCUACAAUGGGGCCCGUUCAGACAAGUUGUGAAACGUUUGCCCCUCUGCAGCCCUAGGGAAGUAUGGCGAAGAUCUCCCUGGCCUGGCAGGGGAAGGUGGCCACAAUCCCUCAUCAGGACGGAGCAACGGGCAAGACGAUCACCCACACCACUAGCCUGUGUGACCGUGGCCCUCGGGAGGUCGGCUGCAGUGUGAGAGCCCCCAUUUGAUGGUUGCGCAAACUGAGAUGCAGAGGGGAUAUCUUAGAGUUGAAGACAUGCAGGAUGCACCAAGCACAGAGAGCUGGAAAGAGUGCCCCAGGCGGUGCGCAUUCCCAGCACCUACUGUGCGUCACGCACCUCAGGACACCCGCUUCCUCCAUCUCCUGUUCACUCUGCAAGGGAAGUACUGGUGGCAACGGCUCCAUUUUACAGAUGAGCAAACUGAGACACAAGACGCUAGUUCAUAAAAUCACACGGAGAACUGACAGAAGCUCAGAAACCCACUCGCAUUUGACAGAGCAGCGCGGAGGCUUGUGAAUGUGGGAGAGCUGCGGCAGAGCUGAGGCUCCCUGCCCUCCGGCCACCCCAAGAUCUCCGCGGAGCCUGCGCUGUAAAGCUUUUGCUCGUGCUGAUUCCUCUGCUUGCAGUGCCUUUCCUGGUGAAGGAGGAAGGGAGAAAGAGGCCACGCGCUGGCUGGACCAGGCCCAGCGAGGAAUUCCCCCUCUGACCUACAGUUCCGAACCCCUUGCCAUAGGCUAGAAUCCCAGCUUCAUCUCAGGGGCAGCUGGUCUGUGGGCCAUCCCUAAUCUGAUGCUGAUGGAAAGAAUAUUCCCAGGGAAUAUGGCUCCUUCCCCUUCCCAUUUCCUCUACUCAACAUCGUGCACUUAUCCUCUUAAAGGAGGUCGGCUUCCUGUUGUAUAUUCUACUUGAAAGUAAGGCAGAUGGGGCCUGUCACUCGUGGCAGGUUUCCUGCAGGUGGGGACUUUUGAUCCAGUCCGAACAGUGGUAAAAUUCAUAAGCCCAGACGACGUAGAAUUGGGGCUCACAAAUGUUCACUUUACACAGAGCACCUCCGACAUGCCAGUGCUGGUGGUAGAGCCGUGAACGACAGACACAAAGUCCUGCCCUCGUUGCGCCCCGGGCACUUCGUCUUUUAAAUUGUUAUUGAGGUUGACAGGAAGCCAUCAAAAUGCUGGAGGAGAAAGCAGGCAAAAACCUGCUUGUAGCAGGUUUUGAUCUUGCCCGAAGCAAUUUCUUACUCAACAGGUCUCCGGAGGCAAGGGAAACAAAAGCAAAAAUGAACUCCUGGGACCUCAUCAAAAUAAAAAGCUUCUGCACAGCGAAGGAAACAAUCAGCAAAACUAAAAGGCA
Long non-coding RNA from Felis catus (domestic cat), 2343 nucleotides. RefSeq lists it as uncharacterized. The record is from RefSeq and is a predicted model, not a curated record. The transcript has 8 exons. NCBI's taxonomy places the organism in Eukaryota, Metazoa, Chordata, Mammalia, Carnivora, Felidae.